UCGGUGAUGACUCCCUGACCAAUUUCCACGUGAUGUGAUUUAUAUGAAGAUGUUAAUAAUUGAAGUAGCAUUUUCUGAAUUCCGGCUAUAGCUCUGCUCUUUCACUGUUAAAAAGAAAUUCUCUAAUUUUAGUAUUGAUAUAUUAAAUAGGUAAAUGUCCGAAGGCUUAUCUGUAUACAUCUGUUAGCGAACUCCGCAGUUGUAGAAUUUGUGUACAAUUAGUCGUGUAUUAACAUAGACGAUAUAAUUACGUGAGCCCAUA
Non-coding RNA from Jatropha curcas, 262 nucleotides. NCBI's taxonomy places the organism in Eukaryota, Viridiplantae, Streptophyta, Magnoliopsida, Malpighiales, Euphorbiaceae. The record is from RefSeq and is a predicted model, not a curated record.